RNAcentral lists this ribosomal RNA (379 nucleotides) under Kalotermes flavicollis. RNAcentral's name for it is "partial 16S ribosomal RNA". Lineage: Eukaryota; Metazoa; Arthropoda; Insecta; Blattodea; Kalotermitidae. The record is from RNAcentral.
CUCUUCUUGAUUUUAUUUUUGAAGUAUGACCUGCCCACUGAUUAUUUGAAGGGCCGCGGUAUUUUGACCGUGCAAAGGUAGCAUAAUCAUUAGUUCUUUAAUUGUGGACUGGUAUGAAUGGUUUGACGAGGUACUAACUGUCUUUAUUAGGAUUUGUAGUUGAAUUUGGGUUUUGGGUAAAAAUACCUAAAUGUUUUUAUGGGACGAGAAGACCCUAUAGAGUUUUAUAUAAUUUUGGUUUGAUGUUGUUUGUUUAUUGAUUUGUUUACCUUAUUGUAUUUUGUUGGGGUGAUGGGAGGAUACUUUCAACUCUUCCUUAUUUUUUAUACUUGUUUGUAUAUCUUUGAUCCUGUAUUAUUGAUUUUAAGAUUAAAUUACC